RNAcentral lists this unclassified non-coding RNA (292 nucleotides) under Hevea brasiliensis (rubber tree). Lineage: Eukaryota; Viridiplantae; Streptophyta; Magnoliopsida; Malpighiales; Euphorbiaceae. The record is from RNAcentral.
AAGAACAAGAUAGAUAUUGUCAGAUUGACCACAAAAUUUGAAAGAAAAACAAAGAUCCCUUUCAUUGAUGCCAAUCACAAACCCAAGCAGAAGUAACACAAAACAACCUAUGAAAAAUAAAUCAAUAAAAAUAUAACAAACACCGGACGAUCCUUACCGAUCAGCAACACUCAAAAAUGUUGUGAGACAAAAUCGGAUCUCGUCCUAACAAGAGCAACAGCAACACAAAACAAACUACGCGAAAAUAGAACAGCGAUCGAUUAACAAGAAUUUAAAUACCGACCAAUCCGCA